UACCAUACAAACAGGUAACCAUUAACACCUAGUGCCUGUUUCCAUGGACACAGGUAGCCAUAGAUACAUAUACACCUUGUGUUGGUUACCGUACAUGUAACCACAGACAUAUAUACACCUAUGUGUACAGCCUAAGACAGUGGCUGUUACCCUUCUAAAUCAAUUACUUAUUUGUUUGUUGAUAGACAAUUACCGGUUAUUAAUGACCUAUAGUGUAUGUACAGAGUAACGAACCGUUAACAUGAGCAGAGACAUCUACUGGUGCUCCUUACAAGAGUUGUACAUCUUCAUUUUUCCUCAUUUUUGAGGUUCUCUCUUAGUUUUUAGAUAUAUUCUCAGGUUUAAUUUAUCAUUAGAUCUGAUUGAAAGUCAUGGUUUUUAAACAGACUUUCCUCUUGGCAUAGUUAGGUUACUACUGAACCUCUGCUGUACGUUCAGAGGUUUGAGAAUAAAUGUUAAAUAUGUGUAUUUAUGUAACUUGUGGGCAUAUGUGUGCAGGUUGUGUGAUGUGUGUAUUCAAUUUGUGGACAUAUGUGUGCAGGUUGUGUGAUGUGUGUAUUCACUUCGUGGACAUAUGUGUGCAGGUUGCUUUGUGACACAUGUGUAUUCAAUUUGUGCACAUAUGUGUACUUGAAGUUUUUGCCACCUAGUAGUAUAAAUCAAAUUGUUUAAAACAUUGGUUAUUUCUUUUAAUGUACAAAUCAUCAUUAUUUUUUUUAUUUAUAAAACAUUUUACGCAAGAUGUAAUAAUGUAAAAUUAAAGACAUGUUGGUAUUACAACCAUUUACAUAUGUGUUUCACAUGUGUAGCAUUUAUACAUAUGUGCAGGUAACAUUUACUUCCAUAUGUACAGCUUACAAAACAUAUGUGCAGGUUACAUGUUCGUCAUCAGAACACAGGUGGCCAGUUAGUAUAAUCUCAUCAUCGUACAUUUAAUUUGUCCGAUAUGUUAGUUUCUAUGAUAUAUAUAUAUAUAUGUUAUGAAUUUUAAUUAAGAAUUUUUAAGACAAUGUAUUGUUGUUGAUAAACCAUUGUAGUUGAUUGUAUGAACAUGUGCUAGUUCACUGUUUUCUAUACCUGAUAUGGUUGUCCUGUUUAGAAGGUUUUUGUCUAUAAUGAUGUGUUUUGGUCCUGUAUCUCGUUCCGUUGUGUUACUAUACAUCUCAUACAGGACAUGUUCAUACAAUGUAUCUUACUUAUGUAGCAAUGUAUUUUCAGUGCAUUGUAUUCUGUGUAUGUACAAAUGUAUACAUACAUGAUGUAUUUUGAUUGUAAUUUGUAUUUUAACUACCUGCAGCAGUACCAGUAUACUGGUCAGUUUCUAAGCUGACCAUUGGUCAGUAUCUGAGUUAACACUGGUCAAGAUUUAAUCUGAGUGACCAUUGGUCAGUAUCUGAGUUAACACUGGUCAAGAUUUAAGCUGAGUGACCAUUGGUCAGUAUCUGAGUUAACACUGGUAAAGAUUUAAUCUGAGUGACCAUUGGUCAGUAUCUGAGUUAACACUGGUCAAUAAUUAACCUGAGUGACCAUUGGUCAGUAUCUGAGUGAACACUGGUCAAUAUUUAACCUGAGUGACCAUGGGUCAGUAUCUUAUUCACCACUGGUCAAUAUUUUAUCUGAGUGUUUCUAACCUGAAUGACCAUUGGUUAGAGUAUAAUAACAAAUGGACAUUGAUUUCAUUAUCUGCAUUAUUGACUGACCGACUUAUGACCAGUACAGAUUUUCCAACAGAAGGUAAGUUCUCUUCCCACCUGUGGGGCGGGGGUGGGGGUGGGGGGAGUAAAUCAUGUAGAAAGAGAGACUUUGUACAAAGUUAACAAUAGUGGACAAAGAGGAAGUUUAAGUAAUAGAGGGACCAUGUCUGCUUAGAGAUUGAUACGGAGGCUGGGUCUAUCUGGAGAAAUUAGGUAUUAAUACGGAGGCUGGACCAUCUACAGAACUUAGAGAUUGAUACGGAGGUUGGGGCCAUCUACAGAACCUAGAGAUUGAUACGGAGGCUGGGGCUAUCUUCAGAACCUAGAGACUGAUACAGAGGCUGGGGCUAUCUACAGAGGGGGUUACCUUUUAUAUCCCGGUGUCUUAACACCUUUACAGGUAUAUGGGUCAUCCUGGCAGUUCCUGCUGUGAUUAGGUACACGUACGUUCUCAGCACCCUUGUUACAUGUUAUGAUGAAAUCGAAAGCUCUGUACGCGCCCCCUUGCGGAUGAUACAAGCAACUAGUUUGAUCCUUUGAUAUACGUCAAAAGAAUCGUGCGGCACCAUAACGGUAAAAAUUACUGGUUUUGAAGCCUGGUGUCGCUCCUGCCUAGCCAUUGGUAAGCUUUUUUUCACCGGAAACUAAUCAAAUAGCUAACCGAGUCAAAUAGCUAACCGAGUCAAAUAGCUAACCGAGUACCUUCAAAUUUGCCAUAACAUAUUCCAGGGGGCAGACAGCUAAGUGAGCGUAACACCAGGAAUUUCGAGGAAGAUAGUGGGUGGGGGUAUACAAAUACUUGUGGAAAAAACUUACCGUUAUUUAGUUUAUCUAAUUAUUAUAUGAGACAUUAUUAUAUUGGACAAUAUGAACCAUAUACACUCGCCUUCUGAACAGCUAAUGACUGCGAAAUGUACCUCAUAACCCUCUAACUCAACAUUACGUUUACAAAUAUCGUUUGUAUUUGUUGUUCAAUUUCAGGUGAGCAUACGGGCCAUUUGGACCUUUUGUUAACACGAUAUCACUAACUAUUUACACAGGGAAGAAACCUAUGAUGACAUUUUUGGUGCAAAUUAGAUAUUUGAUGGAUCAUAAUAUCUACGUGUCUUGUAUUUAGAUAAAAAUUGAUUUUGACAUUUUUCACCUUACCAUUUGGCAAUUGACAUAAGGUCAUACCUUGACCUUUCCUGACCUUGACCGGGAGAGUUGUCAUGACACAUCACGUGAUUUUGUUUCCUACUACAUAUGCAAUAUCAGUAAUUUUUUACGGGUGAAUUUUGAUGAGAAACGGGUUGUACCAGGUGUAGUAUCAUUUAUUCAUACAUAUGUGCUUUGAAACUGAAUUCUGCUCGCAAGCUUAAUGUGUUGAGGGCCGGUAAGGGAGGUACUCCACUGCUCAGGGACCUUUUCCCACUUUCUCCACUUUGUAUACCUCAGUUCCGUAGGUAGACAUUGUUCUUUUAGGUGUAAAUAUGUUCCUAAUAUCUCGUUUCAGUAAAUUUGCGACACGUAAUUAAGAUAACUGUAUAUUUGUUAAAUCUAUCUCGUCACGGU
Long non-coding RNA from Mizuhopecten yessoensis (Yesso scallop), 3248 nucleotides. RefSeq lists it as uncharacterized. The transcript is spliced from 2 exons. NCBI's taxonomy places the organism in Eukaryota, Metazoa, Mollusca, Bivalvia, Pectinida, Pectinidae. The record is from RefSeq and is a predicted model, not a curated record.